Long non-coding RNA from Sorghum bicolor (sorghum), 424 nucleotides. RefSeq lists it as uncharacterized. The record is from RefSeq and is a predicted model, not a curated record. Lineage: Eukaryota; Viridiplantae; Streptophyta; Magnoliopsida; Poales; Poaceae. The transcript has 2 exons.
UAGAGCACGACGGUGGCAGCUUUCAGUGAGCGGCGCAACUUCCUUCCUCCCUGCUCUUUCUCCCUCGCUCUCGUGACCUCCAUACAUCUGGAGAUGGAGACAACGACGCGGCUCCGACGAGGUGAUGUUGCAGUAGGAUAGGGUCCCGUCGAGCUCUCGGGUUCAGAUCUCGUCAUUGUUGCAAUGGUUCUAUCUAGACGUUGCAGUAGGUUUUAGUCGUUGUUGCAGUUUUGUGUUUUGAGAUGUUGUUUCAGUUGCUUCAGUCUGCAUGUUGUAGUAGUUUGUUUUAUGUUGUUACAACAUUUGUUCGGUGUUGUUGUAGUACUAUGUCCAUGGUGUUUUAGUUGCUUCAUCCGAUGCUUUAAUCUGCACUGUUGUAUUAGUUGUUGCAUAUUGUUGCAACAGUUGGUCGAUGUUGUUGUAA